AUUGCUCCCACGUCCAAGGACGGCAGCAGGCGCGAAAAUUGCCCACUCUUUGCAGGAGGCAGUUAUGAGACGUGAAGAUGAGUAUCUUGUAAAGAGGGAUAGGAGAAUUGGAGGGCAAGUUUGGUGCCAGCAGCCGCGGUAAUACCGACUCCAAGAGUGUGUAUGAGAGAUGCUGCAGUUAAAAAGUCCGUAGUCAUAGAAGGGCAAAGAGAGAUGCGAGGUCUCACAGUGCGAUGAUGGAGGAGCCGAUGGGGAACAUAGUAUACCAGGGCGAGAGAUGAAAUGCCAAGACCCCUGGUGGACUGAGCGAGGCGAAGGCGAUGUUCUUGUAGGCAUUCGGUGAUCAAGGACGAAGGCUGGAGUAUCGAAAGUGAUUAGAUACCGCAGUAGUUCCAGCAGUAAAAGAUGCCGACAUGCUCAUUGGACACAGUGGGCAGGGAGAAAUCUUAGAGUUCGGGCUCUGGGGAUAGUAUGCUCGCAAGGGUGAAAAUUAAAGAAAUUGACGGAGCUACACCACAAGGAGUGGAUUGUGCGGCUUAAUUUGACUCAACGCGAGGAAACUUACCAGGGCCAAGUAUUGUGUAGAAACGAGCAAUACAGGAGUGGUGCAUGGUCGUUGGAAAUUGAUGGGAUGACUUUGACCUUAAAUGGUUGAAUGAGUGAGAUCUUUUGGACAUGUUCCGCACGGAACAGGAAGGAAAAGGCUAUAACAGAUCCGAGAUGCCCUCAGAUGCCCUGGGCUGCACGCGCAAUACAAUAGCAGGUAGAGAGAGAGACAGGAAGGUGCUCAGAUGGACUAUGUGCUGUAAGGCACAUACGAAAGAGGAAUUCCUAGUAAGUGUGUAUCAACAAUGGAUAU
This 859-nucleotide ribosomal RNA is filed under the name Vittaforma corneae. RNAcentral describes it as "SSU rRNA". It matches the Rfam family "Microsporidia small subunit ribosomal RNA", at positions 262 to 1164 of the family's 1311-position model. Lineage: Eukaryota; Fungi; Microsporidia; Nosematidae. The record is from RNAcentral.